This 698-nucleotide ribosomal RNA is filed under the name uncultured bacterium. RNAcentral's name for it is "bacterial SSU rRNA". It matches the Rfam family "Bacterial small subunit ribosomal RNA", at positions 56 to 775 of the family's 1533-position model. The record is from RNAcentral.
UGCAAGUCGAACGAGAGAAUUGCUAGCUUGCUAAUAAUUCUCUAGUGGCGCACGGGUGAGUAACACGUGAGUAACCUGCCCCCAAGAGUGGGAUAGCCCCGGGAAACUGGGAUUAAUACCGCAUAAAAUCGCAAGAUUAAAGCAGCAAUGCGCUUGGGGAUGGGCUCGCGUCCUAUUAGUUAGUUGGUGAGGUAACGGCUCACCGAGGCGAUGACGGGUAGCCGGUCUGAGAGGAUGUCCGGCCACACUGGAACUGAGACACGGUCCAGACACCUACGGGUGGCAGCAGUCGAGAAUCAUUCACAAUGGGGGAAACCCUGAUGGUGCGACGCCGCGUGGGGGAAUGAAGGUCUUCGGAUUGUAAACCCCUGUCAUGUGGGAGCAAAUUAAAAAGAUAGUACCACAAGAGGAAGAGACGGCUAACUCUGUGCCAGCAGCCGCGGUAAUACAGAGGUCUCAAGCGUUGUUCGGAAUCACUGGGCGUAAAGCGUGCGUAGGCGGUUUCGUAAGUCGUGUGUGAAAGGCGGGGGCUCAACCCCCGGACUGCACAUGAUACUGCGAGACUAGAGUAAUGGAGGGGGAACCGGAAUUCUCGGUGUAGCAGUGAAAUGCGUAGAUAUCGAGAGGAACACUCGUGGCGAAGGCGGGUUCCUGGACAUUAACUGACGCUGAGGCACGAAGGCCAGGGGAGCGAAAGG